GACGGAGGGGGCUAGCGUUGUUCGGAAUUACUGGGCGUAAAGAGUGCGUAGGCGGUUCGGUAAGACAGUGGUUAAAGGUCCAUGCUCAACAUGGAACAUGCCGUUGUUACUGCCAAACUAGACGAUAGCAGGGGCAAGCAGAAUUCUCGGUGUAGGGGUGAAAUCCGUUGAGAUCGAGAGGAAUACCAAUGGCGAAGGCAGCUUGCUAGGCUAUAUGUGACGCUGAGGCACGAAAGCGUGGGGAGCGAACGGG
RNAcentral lists this ribosomal RNA (253 nucleotides) under uncultured bacterium. Its description in RNAcentral is "partial 16S ribosomal RNA". It matches the Rfam family "Bacterial small subunit ribosomal RNA", at positions 524 to 776 of the family's 1533-position model. The record is from RNAcentral.